Molecule: long non-coding RNA, 282 nt
Filed under: Phoenix dactylifera (date palm)
Lineage: Eukaryota; Viridiplantae; Streptophyta; Magnoliopsida; Arecales; Arecaceae
Description: long non-coding RNA (PDAC_LNC013786)
Source: RNAcentral
CAUAUCAUCGUCUAGUGGAAGGAGCACAAAAGAAGAAGAUUUUUAAAUAAAGAUCUUACAACAAAAGUAUGCAUCUCUUUCUUUUAACGGAUAUGUGAGAUCGAGAAUCACCUUCUAGCAAUGCUAAAAUAGGGCAAAUUAUUGUUCAUGCAAUUUAAGGAUACCUAAUAUAACAUAUUGGGAUACUAAGAAAUAAUUUUCAGAAGUUUAUACAAUUCCGAGCCUAAAAUGUUCUAAGAUGACUUGAGAGUUUAUCUCUUAUUAGAAAAGAAGGCUCAUUUU